Molecule: ribosomal RNA, 507 nt
Filed under: uncultured bacterium
Lineage: Bacteria
Description: bacterial SSU rRNA
Rfam family: Bacterial small subunit ribosomal RNA
Source: RNAcentral
UAGUCCACGCCGUAAACGAUGGAUACUAGCUGUCCGGAAUCUUGAAUUCUGGGCGGCCAAGCGAAAGUGAUAAGUAUCCCACCUGGGGAGUACGUUCGCAAGAAUGAAACUCAAAGGAAUUGACGGGGGCCCGCACAAGCGGUGGAGCAUGUGGUUUAAUUCGAUGAUACGCGAGGAACCUUACCAGGGCUUAAAUGCAUAUUGACAGGUCUAGAGAUAGAUUUUCCUUCGGGCAAUUUGCAAGGUGCUGCAUGGUUGUCGUCAGCUCGUGCCGUGAGGUGUCAGGUUAAGUCCUAUAACGAGCGCAACCCCUGCCGUUAGUUGCCAGCAUGUUAUGAUGGGGACUCUAACGGGACUGCCGGUGCAAACCGUGAGGAAGGUGGGGAUGACGUCAAAUCAUCACGGCCCUUACGUCCUGGGCCACACACGUGCUACAAUGGGCUGUACAGAGGGUCGCCAGCUAGCAAUAGUGAGCUAAUCCCAGAAAGCCGGUCGUAGUCCGGAUUG